Raphanus sativus (radish) is the source of this 996-nucleotide long non-coding RNA. RefSeq lists it as uncharacterized. Lineage: Eukaryota; Viridiplantae; Streptophyta; Magnoliopsida; Brassicales; Brassicaceae. The record is from RefSeq and is a predicted model, not a curated record. The transcript is spliced from 3 exons.
UGUUAACAAAACGUCUUGCUCUAGAAAAAAAAAUUUCUCAAUUUGGAACGGUGAAGCAUUUUAUUUGACUGCAGUAAUCUCAAUUUUUUUAUUAGAGCAAAAAUCCCAACCUAUAAUACAAUGGGAGAGUUAACAACAUACCAGCUUUUAAAAUAGCAAGGAGUGUUACUAUGGAACAUCGGUUUCAAUCAUAUGUGGCUCAAGGAAGGUGAUCCUUUGUGGCUGCGUGGGUUGUUUGAUCAGGAACGAAACUGUUUGCAUGAUGUGUGAGCAAUCUUAUGAUCUUCCUUCUGAUAUAUCUUCAGUGGUAGUUACAGAGUUUUAGGCUCUGUUUCUUUCUUAUUUCUUUGGGUGUUUUCUUUUACUCUGUUUUGUUUUGACGCUUCCUUUUGGUUUGAAGACUGUUUAGGUUUGUGGGGACAAUCCUGAGUGUUUCUAUUUAUUUAUAAAUACAAUUUUAGAGUUAAAAAAAAAAAAAAAAUACAAUGGGAGAGUUUUCUCUCCAAUUAGAGUGUCCACGUCGUCAUCUCUCAUUUAUGCUGAAUCUGCUGCUCUGCCGCUACCUUGGAUGAUUAUUUUCCGCCUUGGUGGGACUUUGCAGUUAAAAAUUUGGUUGUCUCCUCCACUUCUGGGAUUCAUGUUGCGUGAAGAAGAGUGGUGAAUUCAUUACUGACAGUGUACCACCCUGGUUGGAACAUCCACGGAUUCUUCCCCGUCCCCGAUGUUGGCCAAAUACGUUUCCUGCAAGGCUCUGAGUCUUUAACCUCAAGCAGGUCCGUAGCAAGUCUCAUACAAAACCAGAUUGGGAGUUGCAGUACCUGAGGUGUUUUCCACGUGUUGAGACCAUGCAAGGAAUUGAGAAGAACAAACUGGUUUUGAAUAUUACCAUUGGAGUUGAAACAUAUUUUCAAAAUUGUAUAUUUGUUCAAGAGAAUUUGGAUAAAUACACAACUGUUUAGAGCUUGGAAAAUAAUAUGACUUUUGAUUUUUUUUUAA